Leptonychotes weddellii (Weddell seal) is the source of this 2932-nucleotide non-coding RNA. The record is from RefSeq and is a predicted model, not a curated record. Lineage: Eukaryota; Metazoa; Chordata; Mammalia; Carnivora; Phocidae.
CUGUUAAAGGUUGGGGACUUGCAGUAAAUUAUUUGGGGAAAAUCACAAGUAUAGCUGGGCACAGACUUAAGCACUGACUGUUAGCACGCCAUGUCACCAUCCUUCUUCAGGGCCACAGUCCCCUUGAGAUUUGCGCCCCUUGAUGUUACCACUGUUGGCCUCCUCCAUCCCCAGCUGACUUCUCUCCAACUAGGCUCCUGAAGAGAGUGGUCAUGUCCUCCCGCGGCUCCAGGAUACUGGGCAUCGCUUUAGGUUCUGAGUCCAACCCUUGCAGUCUGAAUUCCCUGCACAGAAAUGAAGUGAUUCGACUUUGAUUGGCACUUAGCCCUUGUUCAGUUUCCGAGUAGGGAAUUUGCCUCUAUUAGUAUAUUCAAUUUCCCAUUUUCCUCCCUCCCUCUUUUUCUUGAAUAAUAUCCUGGCUCCUUUACUCUCUGUCAUUUCACCAUCUAUUCUCUUCAGACCCUCAGAACUUAAAUUUCCACCAGGAAUAUUCCUUAGUACUCUACACUUUUACGCUGACUCAUCACACACUGCAUCUGCUCAGAUACCUUUAGUCUUCAUAGGAAAAACUAUAGCCUCUUCUAAGCUGUGAGCUACUAAAACGAAUGAUGUUACUACCAGGACAAGAUACCUGAGAAUUAUUUUCCUCAGCUUAAAAAUAGCACCUUUUGGGUUACUGGGAUCCUGAAAGCAUUUUGUGAACUACACUACUGUAAAAUGUUAAGUGGUAUUAAAACAAUAAUACAUUUAGAAGAGGUAAGAGUCAGCAUUUAUAUUUAUCAUGAGCAUUUUCAUCCUGCUAAUUUAUAAUCAUAGUUACUGAAUCAAAAUCACCUUUCGGGGAGACAUAGGUUCAUGACAUGCUACUGACAGGUGUUUUCUCCGUAGACAGCUUAUCUCCUGCACUUGACCCUUCUGACUUGAUCCUGACUCGGGGAACUUUGGAUGAAGAGGAUGAAGAAGCAGAUAGUGAUACUGAUGAUAUUGAUCACAGAGUUACGGAGGAAAGCCGUGAAGAGCCAGCAUUCCAGAAUUUUAUGCAAGAAUCAAUGGCACAGUAUUGGAAGAGAAACAACAAGUAGUUUCUAGAAGUCCAGAAUUUUGGAACUCUGUGAAGGAACUAUCCUAACCUCUGAUUGGGGGCUACUAUAAAGGACAAUUUUGUUCAGAGUUAGCAGAGUUUUUCUUAUAGGGAAAUUUGACUUAGAUGCAGCCAGGGAUAGAAAACCAUUGGACCUGGCAGGUAGAUGCAGGUUCCCCUUGGCCUGUCCCUUGGAUUUAUGCAAGGAAGGAUAUUCUGACUAUUCUUGGAUGCUGAUAUCCCUUCAAACCUAAAGCUUCAAGUUUUAUCAUUUGAACUUAAGUACUUUUGCUGCUGAUGGAUGGAACAGCAAGAACUUUUCACUUCAAAUCUCUGUCAGGUUGGAUCUGUAUUCUACUUUCCCAGCAUCUUGCCCUUGACCCUGUACCAUGAGUUCCCCUCUUUUUAGCCGAAAGGGAGUGGAAACAUGAACUUGCCCAGGGUGGCAGUGGAGUCUCCUUGGCAACCAAUCAAUCUUGGGUACAAAGUGUGGGGGUAACUCACUAUAGGACAACAGGUUCAUUGAAGAAAGUGAGCAAAACAUAUGACUAAUGAAUAAGAAUCCUGCUUUGGAUGAUGACUUGGAUAAAGUGUUUUUUUUUUAUUAUUUUUUUUUAUUCUUAUGUUAAUCCCCAUACAUUACAUCAUUAGUUUUAGAUGAAGAUAAAGUGUUUUUAAUUUUAACUUUGUUGUAAGCCUGCCUGUCAUAAUUUCAAAUAAGAAAAUUAUGUAAUUGCAAGUAGGUUCACCUCUAUUCAACACAGAGGUUUAAAGCCACAUGUCCAAACCUGUCUCAGUAAAGAGGGGAUGUUUACUAAAGUCUCCCAUGUACACAUACCAAGUAACCAGGUACAGAGCUAGGCACCGUUUCUAUUAUACUUUAAGGUGAAGUAUCCUUUGUGAUUUAUUCAAAGACCAUGGAUUUGGGUAAGGUGCACAUUCCAUAUAUAAUAGCUUUGGUAAGGCAAACCUUCCACAUUCUUCACAGUAUCUUAAAACAUAGUGUAUUUCUCUUAAGGAAUUUUAUCCAUGCCUAAUCUGUACUCCAAUUCAGCAGUUCUCAAGUAUGAUCACUGGACCAGAAGCAUCAGCAUGACCUGGAAAAUUGUUAAAAACACAACACUUAAGACCUGAAUCAGAAACUGUGGGAGUGGGACCUAGAAAUCUGUUUUAGUAAGUCCAUCAGGGAAUUCCCAUGAUGUUAAGUUUGAGAACUGCUCUAGCUAAAAUAGCCUGUGAUAGUUCCAGGCCAGGAGAAUCUCAGGUAUCUUAAAAUGACCUGCUUUAUCAGAGUACCUAACCUUGACCAUCUGGUGCCUAUUCUCCAAUGUAAAUAUUCUAAAAAGUAUUUUAUUUUACCAUUAAGUAUUAAUUUCAGUGUUCUGCACCUAUAGAUUAUAUACUUAUAGAUAUUAAUUUCAAUAUUCUAUACCUAGAAGCCACUAGUCUUAAAAAUUUGAACCUGUUCAAGAGGAAACCAUCUUGCAAAGCAAGGCUCUGAACAUACUUGGUUUUUCCCCUUAGUGCUUUGAAUACUUCCUUAAAAAAAACUUGUCUGGGGGCUUCUGGGUGGCUCAGUCAGUUAAGUGUCUGACUCUUGAUUUCAGCUCAGGCCUUGGUCUCAGGGUCAUGAGUUCAAGCCCCACACUGGGCUCCAUGCUGGGCAUGGCGCCUACUUAAAAAACAAAACAAAAAAACCCUUGCCUGGCGUAUGCCUUAAGCUCCACUCCAUAAGGACAGGGACAAAGUCUUCCUCAUCUUUGUAUCCCUUGCACAAGAACCAGUACAUAAUAGCUCAAUAAAUGUUUGCUAACUGAAUGAAUUAAAUACUAGAUGACUACUUUAUGGAAA